This 272-nucleotide ribosomal RNA is filed under the name unidentified marine bacterioplankton. RNAcentral's name for it is "partial 16S ribosomal RNA". It matches the Rfam family "Bacterial small subunit ribosomal RNA", at positions 37 to 339 of the family's 1533-position model. RNAcentral also lists the same sequence under 1 other name. The record is from RNAcentral.
UGGCGGCAUGCCUAACACAUGCAAGUCGAACGGCUCUUCGGAGCAGUGGCGCACGGGUGAGUAACGCGUGGGAAUCUACCCUGAGGUUCGGAAUAACGGUUGGAAACGACCGCUAAUACCGGAUGUGCCCUAUGGGGCAAAGGCUUGCCGCCUUGGGAGGAGCCCGCGUCCGAUUAGCUUGUUGGUGGGGUAACGGCCUACCAAGGCGACGAUCGGUAGCUGGUCUGAGAGGAUGAUCAGCCACACUGGGACUGAGACACGGCCCAGACUCC